This 1505-nucleotide ribosomal RNA is filed under the name Corynebacterium amycolatum. Its description in RNAcentral is "bacterial SSU rRNA". It matches the Rfam family "Bacterial small subunit ribosomal RNA". The record is from RNAcentral. Lineage: Bacteria; Bacillati; Actinomycetota; Actinomycetes; Mycobacteriales; Corynebacteriaceae. RNAcentral also lists the same sequence under 1 other name.
AGGGUUUGAUCCUGGCUCAGGACGAACGCUGGCGGCGUGCUUAACACAUGCAAGUCGAACGGUAAGGCUCCAGCUUGCUGGGGUACACGAGUGGCGAACGGGUGAGUAACACGUGGGUGACCUGCCCUGCACUUCGGGAUAAGCCUGGGAAACUGGGUCUAAUACCGGAUAGGACCAUGGUGUGGAUACUGUGGUGGAAAGUUUUUUCGGUGUGGGAUGGGCCCGCGGCCUAUCAGCUUGUUGGUGGGGUAAUGGCCUACCAAGGCGGCGACGGGUAGCCGGCCUGAGAGGGUGGACGGCCACAUUGGGACUGAGACACGGCCCAGACUCCUACGGGAGGCAGCAGUGGGGAAUAUUGCACAAUGGGCGCAAGCCUGAUGCAGCGACGCCGCGUGGGGGAUGACGGCCUUCGGGUUGUAAACUCCUUUCACCAUCGACGAAGGGUUUCUGACGGUAGAUGGAGAAGAAGCACCGGCUAACUACGUGCCAGCAGCCGCGGUAAUACGUAGGGUGCGAGCGUUGUCCGGAAUUACUGGGCGUAAAGAGCUCGUAGGUGGUUUGUCGCGUCGUCUGUGAAAUUCCGGGGCUUAACUCCGGGCGUGCAGGCGAUACGGGCAUAACUUGAGUACUGUAGGGGAGACUGGAAUUCCUGGUGUAGCGGUGAAAUGCGCAGAUAUCAGGAGGAACACCGGUGGCGAAGGCGGGUCUCUGGGCAGUAACUGACGCUGAGGAGCGAAAGCAUGGGGAGCGAACAGGAUUAGAUACCCUGGUAGUCCAUGCCGUAAACGGUGGGCGCUAGGUGUGGGUUUCCUUCCACGGGAUCCGUGCCGUAGCUAACGCAUUAAGCGCCCCGCCUGGGGAGUACGGCCGCAAGGCUAAAACUCAAAGGAAUUGACGGGGGCCCGCACAAGCGGCGGAGCAUGUGGAUUAAUUCGAUGCAACGCGAAGAACCUUACCUGGGCUUGACAUAUACAGGAUCGCGCCAGAGAUGGUGUUUCCCUUGUGGCUUGUAUACAGGUGGUGCAUGGUUGUCGUCAGCUCGUGUCGUGAGAUGUUGGGUUAAGUCCCGCAACGAGCGCAACCCUUGUCUUAUGUUGCCAGCACGUGAUGGUGGGGACUCGUAAGAGACUGCCGGGGUUAACUCGGAGGAAGGUGGGGAUGACGUCAAAUCAUCAUGCCCCUUAUGUCCAGGGCUUCACACAUGCUACAAUGGUCGGUACAGUGGGUUGCCAGUCCGUGAGGGCGAGCUAAUCCCGUAAAGCCGGUCUCAGUUCGGAUCGGGGUCUGCAACUCGACCCCGUGAAGUCGGAGUCGCUAGUAAUCGCAGAUCAGCAACGCUGCGGUGAAUACGUUCCCGGGCCUUGUACACACCGCCCGUCACGUCAUGAAAGUCGGUAACACCCGAAGCCAGUGGCCUAACACUUUUUUGUGGGGGAGCUGUCGAAGGUGGGAUUGGCGAUUGGGACGAAGUCGUAACAAGGUAGCCGUACCGGAAGGUGCGGCUG